UACGUAGGGUGCGAGCGUUAAUCGGAAUUACUGGGCGUAAAGCGUGCGCAGGCGGUUUUGUAAGCCAGAUGUGAAAUCCCCGGGCUUAACCUGGGAAUUGCGAUGGAGACUGCAAGGCUUGAAUCUGGCAGAGGGGGGUAGAAUUCCACGUGUAGCAGUGAAAUGCGUAGAGAUGUGGAGGAACACCGAUGGCGAAGGCAGCCCCCUGGGUCAAGAUUGACGCUCAUGCACGAAAGCGUGGGGAGCAAACAGG
This 253-nucleotide ribosomal RNA is filed under the name uncultured bacterium. Its description in RNAcentral is "partial 16S ribosomal RNA". It matches the Rfam family "Bacterial small subunit ribosomal RNA", at positions 524 to 776 of the family's 1533-position model. The record is from RNAcentral.